GGUUAAGUGAAUAAGGGCGCACGGUGGAUGCCUUGGCACUAGGAGCCGAUGAAGGACGGGACUAACACCGAUAUGCUUUGGGGAGCUGUACGUAAGCUAUGAUCCAGAGAUUUCCGAAUGGGGGAACCCAACAUCUUUAAUAGGAUGUUACGAUUGUGUGAAUACAUAGCACAUUCGAGGUAGACGCAGAGAACUGAAACAUCUAAGUACCUGCAGGAAGAGAAAGAAAAUUCGAUUCCCUGAGUAGCGGCGAGCGAAACGGGAAAAGCCCAAACCAGCAAGCUUGCUUGUUGGGGUUGUAGGACUCCAAUAUGGUAGUUCUUUCAGAUAGUCGAAUGACUUGGAAAAGUCAGUCAAAGAGGGUAAAAACCCCGUAGACGAAAUGUGGAAGACACCUAGGAGGAUCCUGAGUACGGCGGAACACGAGAAAUUCCGUCGGAAUCCGGGAGGACCAUCUCCCAAGGCUAAAUACUCCCUAGUGACCGAUAGUGAACCAGUACCGUGAGGGAAAGGUGAAAAGCACCCCGGAAGGGGAGUGAAAUAGAACCUGAAACCGUGUGCCUACAACAAGUCAAAGCCCGUUAAUGGGUGAUGGCGUGCCUUUUGUAGAAUGAACCGGCGAGUUACGAUUGCAUGCGAGGUUAAGUUGAAGAGACGGAGCCGCAGCGAAAGCGAGUCUGAAUAGGGCGUUUGAGUAUGUAGUCGUAGACCCGAAACCAUGUGAUCUACCCAUGUCCAGGUUGAAGGUGCGGUAAAACGCACUGGAGGACCGAACCCACGUACGUUGAAAAGUGCGGGGAUGAGGUGUGGGUAGCGGAGAAAUUCCAAACGAACUUGGAGAUAGCUGGUUCUCUCCGAAAUAGCUUUAGGGCUAGCCUCGGAAUUGAGAAUGAUGGAGGUAGAGCACUGUUUGGACUAGGGGCCCAUCUCGGGUUACCGAAUUCAGAUAAACUCCGAAUGCCAUUCAUUCAUAUCCGGGAGUCAGACUGUGAGUGAUAAGAUCCAUAGUCGAAAGGGAAACAGCCCAGACCACCAGCUAAGGUCCCAAAAUAUAUGUUAAGUGGAAAAGGAUGUGGGGUUGCACAGACAACUAGGAUGUUGGCUUAGAAGCAGCCACCAUUUAAAGAGUGCGUAAUAGCUCACUAGUCGAGUGACCCUGCGCCGAAAAUGUACCGGGGCUAAACAUAUUACCGAAGCUGUGGAGUACACCUUUAGGUGUAUUGGUAGGAGAGCGUUCUAAGGGCGU
Molecule: ribosomal RNA, 1246 nt
Filed under: Enterococcus faecium
Lineage: Bacteria; Bacillati; Bacillota; Bacilli; Lactobacillales; Enterococcaceae
Also listed under: 4 other names
Description: partial 23S ribosomal RNA
Rfam family: Bacterial large subunit ribosomal RNA
Source: RNAcentral